UACGUAGGGACCAAGCGUUGUUCGGAUUUACUGGGCGUAAAGCGCGUGUAGGCGGCCGAUUAAGUCUGGUGUGAAAGCCCGGGGCUCACCCCCGGAAGUGCGCUGGAAACUGGUCGGCUAGAGUAUGGGAGAGGGAUGUGGAAUUCCGGGUGUAGUGGUGAAAUGCGUAGAGAUCCGGAGGAACCCCAGAGGCGAAGGCGGCAUCCUGGCCCAUUACCGACACUCAGACACGACAGCAUGGGGAGCGAACGGG
This 253-nucleotide ribosomal RNA is filed under the name uncultured bacterium. RNAcentral's name for it is "partial 16S ribosomal RNA". It matches the Rfam family "Bacterial small subunit ribosomal RNA", at positions 524 to 776 of the family's 1533-position model. The record is from RNAcentral.